GUGGGGGAAAAGGAAGGGGAAGGGGUGGCGGUGGCGGGUGAGGGAAGGGAGAAUUAGGGUUUAGGGGUGGGGAAGGUUGGGGAAGAUGAUGAUGUGAUUUUUUUUUUAAUUUUUUGUCCAUGUGUCAUUUUCGGCUGCCACCGUGUCUUUUUCGGUGCCAGCGUAAGAAAAAAUCGAUCAUCGGACAAAUUCGAGACAAAAACGAAAGGUUAUGUAUUUAAAAGUAGAUUUUUUAAAUUAGAAGCAAAAACCAAUUUC
This 258-nucleotide long non-coding RNA is filed under the name Salvia miltiorrhiza (redroot sage). RNAcentral describes it as "long non-coding RNA (SMIL_LNC001971)". The record is from RNAcentral. Lineage: Eukaryota; Viridiplantae; Streptophyta; Magnoliopsida; Lamiales; Lamiaceae.